RNAcentral lists this unclassified non-coding RNA (306 nucleotides) under Hevea brasiliensis (rubber tree). Lineage: Eukaryota; Viridiplantae; Streptophyta; Magnoliopsida; Malpighiales; Euphorbiaceae. The record is from RNAcentral.
AUGAUUCUAGCUUAAGCAUCAAGAAUUCAUGACUAUUCCUAGGAGAAUGCAUAAAAAGCAUUAAUUAGCUGGUUAUAGAAACAAAAACUUUGAACCAUCCAGAAUGCAAUGGAACAUGAAUUUAUAGAUAAAAGUGAUAGGAUAAAUGCAAAAUUAAACUAGGUAAGUAACAUGUAGUUUUUUGCUUACAACUCUAUUGACCUGACUUUUGAUUUGAAAAAUGAUUGUCAUUUGCAAUAUGGACAGAUGACCGUUUUGAAUUUUCAUUAACAAUUUGAAUAACGUGUCUUUUGAAAAAUUAGGAAA